Molecule: ribosomal RNA, 253 nt
Filed under: uncultured bacterium
Lineage: Bacteria
Description: partial 16S ribosomal RNA
Rfam family: Bacterial small subunit ribosomal RNA
Source: RNAcentral
UACGUAGGGGGCAAGCGUUGUCCGGAUUUAUUGGGCGUAAAGAGCGUGUAGGCGGCUAGAUAGGUCCGUUGUGAAAACUCGAGGCUCAACCUCGAGACGUCGAUGGAAACCAUCUGGCUAGAGUCCGGAAGAGGAGAGUGGAAUUCCUGGUGUAGCGGUGAAAUGCGCAGAUAUCAGGAGGAACACCGAUGGCGAAGGCAGGUCUCUGGGCCACUACUGACGCUGAGAAGCGAAAGCAUGGGGAGCGAACAGG